RNAcentral lists this ribosomal RNA (253 nucleotides) under uncultured bacterium. RNAcentral's name for it is "partial 16S ribosomal RNA". It matches the Rfam family "Bacterial small subunit ribosomal RNA", at positions 524 to 776 of the family's 1533-position model. The record is from RNAcentral.
UACGGGGGGGGCAAGCGUUGUUCGGAAUUACUGGGCGUAAAGGGUUUGUAGGUGGCUCGCUAAGUCAGACGUGAAAUCCCUCAGCUUAACUGGGGAACUGCGUCUGAGACCGGCGAGCUUGAGUGCAGGAGAGGAACGCGGAAUUCCAGGUGUAGCGGUGAAAUGCGUAGAUAUCUGGAGGAACACCGGUGGCGAAGGCGGCGUUCUGGACUGCAACUGACACUGAGAAACGAAAGCCAGGGGAGCAAACGGG